AAACCCCACAGAAAAAAAAAAAGAAAGAAUUUGUGUCCUUUUUGUUGGAAUUCCAAUAAUGACCAACUCCAAGAGACUAAGCCCCAGGUGACUCAUAGAGGAAGGAAAACAUGCAGCAGCUUUUUCAAAGCUGGCCUACAAACGCUUUCCAAAGAUCAAAAAUCCCCUGCGUUCUGAAAAUGGAAGAGAAAAUACGCUUCCUUUGGGGGGCUAUUUGAUAUUCUGCUAGUUCUUCUGAGAUGGAUAACACCAGAGCAGCAUUCUCAUCUCAGGACACAGCGCUCGGUGUUGCACCCAGAUUGAAUUAAACGGUGCAAUGGAUGGGUGAAUAGGAGAGGAACUCAACCUGUCUCUGAAAACAAUUUUCUGCGCGCCUUGGUGCCGGCACCUCCACUGCUCAGAUAUCAUCGAUAACAGAUUUACUAGUGGGGAUAUCUAAGAUCUCGAUUUUAACAACUUCUCUCCUUUUUGGACCAGUGUUGUGUGAUUGUUAUCAUUCACAUUUGCAGAAACAUUAUUGCAGAAAGUUUCCAAACCAUGUUUCCUAACAGGGUACUUGAAGAGUCAACCUCUGCAUCACCAUUAAUAAAAACAAAGCUAUACAAAAAGAUGUAUUUUUAUGCACAAAGAAUUGACCAUUAAGAUUUUGUCUUUUUUUAAUCAAUUAUUUGAAGGAUAAUGCCACAUUCAUCUCACGUACCCACACUGAUGCUACUGUUGGAAGUGCAUUUUGCAGAUAGAACCAGUUCCCUGCAGUCCUCUGAAUAAUUUACCUUCUUAGUAUUACAGAAAAAUAUUUGAAUGAAGUGGAACUUUUGUAGGAUUUCAAUAAUGUAAUUAGAUGUUCAGCAGUGGCUGAUACUCAGAUUAUUUAGAUACUGAUGCUGCUAGUCAUAUAAUACUGUCAUUUUUGUAAUUUAACCCAGCUGUCAGCUCUCCUCCUAAAAAAGGGCCAAGAUUGGAUGAUUAGAGAAAAUAUUGUAGUCCAAGUAUGUGAGCAGAAAAACUCUUCAGGAAUGUAACAAGGCAGAAGAUAACACAAACAUAAAAAUAUGCUUGUGAAUAGGAAGGGUAGUAUUCAGAGCCAGAUUUUGAUCUUUAUUAGGCUAGUGUAAAUCUGGAGGAGCUCCACAGACCUCAGCCUGGUUGCUUUGACCUUGCAGCAGAUUACAGAUACUGAAUGUAAAUCACCGGGGAGAUAGCUUUGUAUUUUUACGAGAAGAGGUGGGUUAUAAAUACAUGCAGAUAUUUACACAAACAUAUGUGGCGUAGAACAUCCCAGUGGUUGUUUUUAUAUGAACCUGUCCAAUGCAGUUUAAUGCAACCACCAACUCCGAUGCACUGAUGUCUUCACCCUCUUGGCCUCAGAGGCUGUACAAUACUCCUAAGAAGUCAAUUUUUAAGAAAUAGCCAAUAGUUUUUUUCUUGUACAUCUGCUAAGAGGGAAUGUCCACUACAUAUACGCAAAGCAUCAAUUAUAUAAACUACAUGUGAAACCAAUACGCAGGUAUCACUGAUGGCUUAUUUUUUUCUUUUUUUUUUCUGCCAUCAAAUCAGAAAGAAAUCAAACCCAAUGUUUGCACUCUAUGCUCCCAUGCACUGACUUUAGUGAUAAUCUAUAUUAGCGUUUUUCUUUUUAAAAUAUAUAUUUUUUUCUAUCCAGUGUCAAGAGCUUGGAUUUCCACAAAGAAGUCUGUUAACCAAAGGCUUUCCUCCUGGUCACAGCCACUCUUUACUGCACAGGGUUCCUGUGGGUAUUUCUUGUGGCACAGGGCAUGGGCAUCCCUGCUGCCUCCAGUGGCUGCUGCUCCAGCACUUUAUCUGUUGCCCAAAGAAGCCAGGAAGAAUCGAUUUGCUGCAUGCAUGCUGGUUGCCAAGGAGAGAGGAGACCUUGGAUGUGUGACUAGGGCUGAUUUCUUUAAAAAUUUGUUUGCCCCAGAUUUAGGAUAUUGAUAUUUCUGAAAACUCAGCUAUCUCAAGCGGCUACUGCCCGUUCCAAAGAGGAGCUAUUGCCCAAAGAUCACAGACCUGGAUGAACACCUUCUUCACCCUUCCAUUUCUGCUGCGUCCAGAAAAUACAUAUCCAGGCCACCACGUUUUCAGGACAGUACAAGUUUGCUGCAGGACAGCAUGGCUGCAGUCACAUAUGUGGGAACCUCCUCCGUUCCCACUGGAGGCCUCCGCUUUGGGUCAAGUGGUAACACUGGAAUCAGCAGUCAUGAAGCAGAGGUUAAAAUGGGCAAUGUGCCGUAAAACUGCCGUGAGAGGGCAGCUGGGAAUUUGGAGGUUUUUCAUUUUAAUGGCACACAGCUCAGAUUUUCUUUUUCCUAAGGGAAAUAAGACUGCUCUUGGAAGCUACCUCCAUACCAUUUGUGCGGAGUAUUUUCUAAGAUGUGGCUGUGUCAGUAACUCAUAGGGCCCAAAGGGGCUUUCCCUGCAGCAUUCACCAUUGUGAGAUAUCAGGAGCCAGAGCGCAGGAUAUAAUCACUAUUUGAUGCACGCAAUUGCCAACAUGGCUUCUUUUCUCAAAAUAAAAUAAAAUGGUCCCAGAGGAAAAAGGAUUUACAAGUAAUGUUGAGUCCAGGAGAGCAGUUCUGGAUCCUGCUGCUGGUCUGGUGGUGACCCAGCCUGAGCCACAUUCCUGCAUGGGGCAACAGUUACUGCAACUGUAGCACAGGGCUAGUGAUAACUGAAACCCCCAGAAAAGCACCUGGAGAUACAGCAGCAAAAUCAAAAGGGUCAUCGUGUGAGAUAAAGAACCACCACUUGAACUCAUCUGACUUCACUCCAGCCCUGUGCUUAACCCCUUGUGACCGUGUUUUCCCUCCCUUUCCUAAGCAGGAUGUUCAGGAUGAUGACCUGACCCUGCAAACCGUACAGAUGUGGGUGAGCUCUGUUCCUGGGCACAGCUGGCGUUCACCCUGGAGCGGCCACUCCAUUCUCUCUUGCAUUUCAAACAUCCCUCACUGUGGCGAGGCUGUUGAUUUGCUAUUGCAGUUGAAAAUUUUUGACAGGUGACUCAUCCCUGCUCUAGCAAUAUGCUGCGUUUGAUCAUCGAGUCCUAGAGGGCUUUUAGCAAGCAAUUAGGAGGUGGAUGUGAAAAUAAUUUGUACGUUUGUCUGUUUGUUGUUUGUCUCCAGCUCUCCUGUAAUCAGUUACCUCUCUGCCUUCCGCUGUGGGCAGGAGGGGCCCAAGAAAUUCGGUUGUCAUGGGAGAGGGCUGUUCGGGGCUGUUGGGAGCUGUCGUGCUGCUACUUGUCCACAUCCCCAACGAAAAGCUCUCCACUAAUAAUUACCACAUCACUGCAAACAGACUGAGGAGAGACAUGAUGUAAAAAUUAAAUUACUUAAAACAUUUUUUGGGCUAACACUCGGCUUUAUAUAAACUCAGAGACAAUCCUAUAAGGCACUCAGGGCAGAUUAUAGGUUUGGGCAAAGCUAGAAAAUUGCUGCCAUUAUAUUGUUAUUAUUAACACCUUGUAAUUAGCCCUAAGGAAUCCUGAAGUUCUCUCUCCUGAUUUGGCUUUAAUGAAGGAAAAUUGCUACCUUUGCAAGUUGGAUGGCGCCCGCUCUGAUUAAUCUUAAGUAUAUAGGACUAUUAUUUUGAAAAUGUUUGUUGUCAUGUGAAUAUUAGUAUUGCAUGUAAAGGGGGGGGGGGAGUGCAGUGGGCUCUUCUCUCUCUUGGCUGUGAUGAGUCACAUGUUCACUUUAGUUACGGUCAUUCCCUUCAAGAUAGAGAAUGGAAACCUUGAGAAGAUAUCCCGACCACAAGCUAAUGAAUUCAGGAGGAUCCUGUGGCAAGGGCUGCCAGCUGCCCUACUGGCUGAUUGCAUUGGCUGAUGGAGUAAUUGUUGCAUGGAGAUAGUUUUAUGAUUGCUUUGAGAGUCUGAAUGAGAUCAUGCAUGAGU
Long non-coding RNA from Numida meleagris (helmeted guineafowl), 3907 nucleotides. RefSeq lists it as uncharacterized. The transcript is spliced from 9 exons. Lineage: Eukaryota; Metazoa; Chordata; Aves; Galliformes; Numididae. The record is from RefSeq and is a predicted model, not a curated record.